AUUAUUUCGUGCGUUUCAUUUCCUGUUAAAUUGGCCGACCGGUGUUUGAUUGCCACGUUUUAACUCUGCAAAAUGCCUGAGAGCUUAUUUUCAGUGGUGAAGAAAUUCACAGAUGAGUAUAUAAACAGUACUCCGAAGAAAUUGAAGAUCGUAGAUGCAUAUUUGUUCUACAUUCUGCUGACAGGCGUCAUCCAGUUCAUGUACUGUGCGCUGGUCGGAACAUUCCCUUUCAAUUCUUUCCUGUCUGGUUUCAUCUCUAGCGUCGGUUCAUUCGUUUUGGGAGUAUGUUUGCGGCUACAAGUGAAUCCACAGAAUAAACACGACUUUACAGGAAUUGGUCCAGAAAGAGCAUUUGCUGACUUUAUUUUUGCCCAUAUUAUUUUACACUUGGUUGUUGUCAACUUCAUUGGAUAGAAGAUUAUGGUAUGGGUGAUGGGAAGAAAAGCGACUAUGUAAUGUAGAGACAAUGAAGAGACCAAUCUCACCAUUUCACUGGUUUAGAAAACAGUCUUCAACAAUACAGAUGAUGUCAGAUGUGCAUAUUUUUCAUGUAAAAAAAUCCAUGUUAUCAUUUAUAAUAUAAUAUCACAGGUGUAUGUAGUGAAAUUAAAUGUUGUUACAGUAAACUAUUGUGCAUUGUGUUUUCUCUAUAUAGAGUUCAUUUUUAGCUCGUCAGGGACUGACAUUUAAUUUGGUAUGUAACUUUCAAGAAUUUAAAUAAAUGUAUACCUACCUGUAAGUUUUUUUUUUUGUGAGAAAAAAAGAAAAGAUAAACAACUAAGAUCUGUUAAAAGGAAAUUAUGGAAUAUGUAUUAUUUAUUCUUUAUUAUAUGAUUGUGACUAUCUACUGGUCUGGUGCAUAAAUGCAUUUAAUUCUGGAGAAAGGCAUUAUUAGUGAUUAUCUAUGAGAUAAGAUCUUGGAACAUGAUAUAUGUGUUAGGUUCACUAUAGCAAAAGGGGCAAUCCGAUAGG
This is a long non-coding RNA of Pecten maximus, 972 nucleotides long. RefSeq lists it as uncharacterized. The transcript has 4 exons. Lineage: Eukaryota; Metazoa; Mollusca; Bivalvia; Pectinida; Pectinidae. The record is from RefSeq and is a predicted model, not a curated record.